This 254-nucleotide ribosomal RNA is filed under the name uncultured bacterium. Its description in RNAcentral is "partial 16S ribosomal RNA". It matches the Rfam family "Bacterial small subunit ribosomal RNA", at positions 793 to 1055 of the family's 1533-position model. The record is from RNAcentral.
GUCCACGCCGUAACGAUGGAUACUAGCUGUUGGGAGCGAUCUCAGUGGCUAAGCGAAAGUGAUAAGUAUCCCACCUGGGGAGUACGUUCGCAAGAAUGAAACUCAAAGGAAUUGACGGGGCCCGCACAAGCGGUGGAGCAUGUGGUUUAAUUCGAUGAUACGCGAGGAACCUUACCAAGGCUUAAAUGUAGAUUGACCGGUUUGGAAACAGACUUUUUCGCAAGACAAUUUACAAGGUGCUGCAUGGUUGUCGU